GAUGAACGCUAGCUACAGGCUUAACACAUGCAAGUCGCGGGGCAGCAUGGUGGUUGCUUGCAAUCCCCGAUGGCGACCGGCGCACGGGUGAGUAACGCGUAUCCAACCUGCCCUUCACCACGGGAUAACCCGGCGAAAGUCGGACUAAUACCGUAUGUUGUCCAUUGACGGCAUCCGAUUUGGACGAAAGGUUUGGCGGUGAAGGAUGGGGAUGCGUCCGAUUAGCUGGACGGCGGGGUGACGGCCCACCGUGGCGACGAUCGGUAGGGGUUCUGAGAGGAAGGUCCCCCACACUGGAACUGAGACACGGUCCAGACUCCUACGGGAGGCAGCAGUGAGGAAUAUUGGUCAAUGGGCGUAAGCCUGAACCAGCCAAGUAGCGUGCAGGAUGACGGCCCUAUGGGUUGUAAACUGCUUUUAUGCGGGGAUAAAGUGGCCCACGUGUGGGUUUUUGCAGGUACCGCAUGAAUAAGGACCGGCUAAUUCCGUG
Molecule: ribosomal RNA, 490 nt
Filed under: uncultured bacterium
Lineage: Bacteria
Description: partial 16S ribosomal RNA
Rfam family: Bacterial small subunit ribosomal RNA
Source: RNAcentral